RNAcentral lists this long non-coding RNA (1656 nucleotides) under Equus caballus (horse). RNAcentral describes it as "lncRNA (ENSECAG00000046254.1)". The record is from RNAcentral. Lineage: Eukaryota; Metazoa; Chordata; Mammalia; Perissodactyla; Equidae.
GAGUGUCUGUGCCCAAGCAGGACCAGUGGUGUGGGAGGAUGGAGUGGCUUUGAGAGAUAUCAAAGAGAAGAUGCUGCCCAGCUUGGAUGUGGUGGGGUGAAAGAGAGCUUCCUGGUUUAGGCAAUGGACACAUAUUUGAGGGAAAGAGGAAGAAAGUGCCCAAGACAUCUAAUUAGACUCAGCCUCUGACGCUCACUGGAACCCACCUGAAUCAGCUGCUCCCCAGAAGAAGAUUACUACACACAAGGUGGACUGACCCAGGCCGCUCCUUGGCCCAGAUCUGCAGUUUAGACCCCACCCUGUCAUCAGCUGCCUUGAAGUGGUCUUACAAUCAUGUCCCUGCAGUGCCUGUGGCAGGCAUCAUGCAAGUUGCCCUUGAAGAUACCCAGAUGUCUUGGUGACAGGUUCCUGACCACCUGGAUGAGAGGUGGGCCAUCAGAUCGAUAUCACACAGGGGCCGUGAGCCCAGACUGCAGGCAUGUGCAUGUGAGGUUGGAGGUGGUGGAAAGAAGGCAGAUCCUUUGGCUACGCCCAAAGUGCCUGGCAACAAAGAGUGUCCAGCUCACAUUUCAAAUCUUUCCUUUCCUCUUCUUUCUCCUUCCUCACUGGCUACGGCCAUCCAUAAAGAGCUCCAAGCCCUCAUGCAUAGAGGGUGUUCAAUGAGUGGGGAAGGCCCAGUCUGUGCUGGAGGGACAGCUGCCUCCACGUUCAGAGACCUGCAGCUCGUAAGACAAAGUUUGUCCCCCAGCUGUUUCUUCAUCAUCACCCGGUAUCCCUUGAAAUUUGCUGACUCUUCAUUUUCGUGGUGAGGGGCCUUAUAUUCUGGUUGGAAGGGAGGACGGGGGGAUAGGAAGGAUUGUGAGAAACGUGGUUCUCUAUUUUCAGAAUAAAGAACUUCAGCCUCUCCACUUCCCCAAGUGAGGCUUUCCCUACAGGCACAUUUUCUGGUUCAGAGGCUGCCCAAGAAGGACAGUGAGGGUCAUUUCAAAUCACAUCUCGUUGCUCUCUGAGACCUGGCUUCCCAGAGAUAAGGCGUGGUCGUCUGGAAAGGAGCCUGUUGGAUAGGCGAAGUUCUGCUGGACCACAUUCCAAGGAACUCGUCUGACACUCCACUCUUCUGAGAUUGGCUCCCAUUAGCAGUUACUGGAAACAAGCAGGUUGUCAACAGGGCACGGCCAGGAGUGUGGUGUGUAGUAGAGCGUUUCAUGGGGUAGACCACUGAUGAGGUGCAGACAUGAACCCAGAAGUCCAGCAAGGCAGCAGCGAUGGGCCUGAUAGGGUCUGAGGAUUUCUCCUCCAGGAGCUCCUGGCCGGGCCAGGGCUCCUCUGUCGGUUUGCUCAGCAUCGACAGAGCCCAGCUCGAGACUUAGAUUCUUGAUCCGUCAGAGAUGCACGGCAACUCAACUGCAGAAAGCAGGGUGGGGAAGCUGUAUUACAAGUCAUAACAAGUUCACUGGAAACAUGGGCCAGAUGCUUGCUUCUAAAAAGAAAUGCUCCUCUCAAAGCAGGGCUCUUUCGAGUGCACCCCGAGAUGUGCCUGGGUGGGUCCUUCCUCUGUGUCUUUCUGUCUAUGCCAGGGUCUCGAUGUCUGUAGCCACUGUGAGACACACCCCUGCUAAGAGACUGCUUACAGCAGGGCCGCGCAUCCUUUCUGAG